This 253-nucleotide ribosomal RNA is filed under the name uncultured bacterium. RNAcentral's name for it is "partial 16S ribosomal RNA". It matches the Rfam family "Bacterial small subunit ribosomal RNA", at positions 524 to 776 of the family's 1533-position model. The record is from RNAcentral.
UACGGAGGGUGCAAACGUUGCUCGGAAUUAUUGGGCGUAAAGCGCACAUAGGCGGUCGUUUAAGUCGGGUGUGAAAGCCCUCGGCUCAACCGAGGAAGUGCACACGAAACUGAACGGCUCGAGUACGGAAGAGGGUCUCGGAAUUCCCGGUGUAGAGGUGGAAUUCGUAGAUAUCGGGGGGAUCACCAGUGGGGAAGGCGGAGACCUGGGCAGAUACUGACGCUGAGGUGCGAAAGCGUGGGGAGUAAACAGG